Molecule: ribosomal RNA, 450 nt
Filed under: uncultured bacterium
Lineage: Bacteria
Description: bacterial SSU rRNA
Rfam family: Bacterial small subunit ribosomal RNA
Source: RNAcentral
GUGGGGAAUAUUGGACAAUGGGCGAAAGCCUGAUCCAGCCAUGCCGCGUGUGUGAAGAAGGUCUUCGGAUUGUAAAGCACUUUAAGUUGGGAGGAAGGGCAGUAAGUUAAUACCUUGCUGUUUUGACGUUACCGACAGAAUAAGCACCGGCUAACUUCGUGCCAGCAGCCGCGGUAAUACGAAGGGUGCAAGCGUUAAUCGGAAUUACUGGGCGUAAAGCGCGCGUAGGUGGUUUUGUAAGUUGGAGGUGAAAUCCCCGGGCUCAAGCUGGGAACUGCCUGCAAAAGUGCAUGAAUAGAGUACGGUAGAGAGUAGUGGAAUUUCCUGUGUAGCGGUGAAAUGCGUAGAUAUAGGAAGGAACACCAGUGGCGAAGGCGACUACCUGGACUGAUACUGACACUGAGGUGCGAAAGCGUGGGGAGCAAACAGGAUUAGAAACCCGGGUAGUCC